UCUGCUGAGGUGGUUCUGGCAAUUCUGAGGUGGAUUUGGGGACUAUUCAAACUGAAUCUGCCUCUCGAGCUUGGGCCUGGGAUUUCCAAAGGUGAGCCUGAAUGUUCUGAGUUGACUUUGGAUCAACUGAGGUGUUUCUAGGCUUUCAAUAUGUUGUCUGUGGAAGUCUGUGUCAUUGAGAUGGAUUAGGACUGGCCAAUAUCAGUUUGGGGUCCCUGAGGUGUGUCUGGGGUCCUCUGGAGUAUUUUCUGGGGAUGCAUGUACUAAGUUUGGUGCCCAUGAAUUGAUGUCAGCUUUUGUAAUCAGAGUCUGGGUCCUGUGGACAGAGCCUGGGUUGAAUUUGGGUCUGUUUGAGGUGAGUCUGUGUUUAGCCAUAUAUGUCUUAGUGCUCCUAGGGUGGGUCUGGGGACCUCAUAGAUUGAUAUCUGGGAGUGUGUGAAUUGAAUCUUGGUCCCUUGAUGUAAUCUGGGGUCUCUAGAGGUGUGUUAGGAUACUUGAGAAACCUCUGGUUUCCUUGAGUUGAAUCUAUGUCCUCCAAACCGAGUUUUGGUAUCCUGAGGAUGGCUUGAUUCCUUUAAGUAGGUUGCGAGCCCCAUAUCUUUUACCCGGUGAACUUGCAGUAUGUUUCUCAUUUCCAGGUCUGUUGCUGAGGAAUGCCUAAACUGAGUCUGGAUUCCUGAAGUUAGUCUUCUUUGCUCUGAAGUGGAUCUGGAUCUGAGGAGGAACCGGGGAUCGGUUGUUUCCUUCCAAUUGCAGAGUUUUGAGACUGGGAGGAGUUGGGACAAGAGCUCUAUGGAAUUUCUUAAGAUCCUGAGUGUGGAUUUUUCUGAUUGUGCACUUGCUUGCUUGCUUCAGGUCCUGACUGGUUUCCAGAGCUCCCACAAAGGAAACAUUUAAACUCUGACAUUUCAGGAGUCACGGACCAAGAAGGUAUCUUACAUGGCUAUAGGCCUGAAAAGAUCAAGUCAAAGGAGACACAGCGGUGGUCAUCCUGCGAUACCCUAUCAGGAGGGAAGAAAUACUGCUUUCUCACACUUACAACAUCUUCUGGAAGAGCUGUUGUAACUGCUCAUACAGACA
This is a long non-coding RNA of Globicephala melas (long-finned pilot whale), 1080 nucleotides long. RefSeq lists it as uncharacterized. The record is from RefSeq and is a predicted model, not a curated record. Lineage: Eukaryota; Metazoa; Chordata; Mammalia; Artiodactyla; Delphinidae.